AGCAGCCGCGGUAAUUCCAGCUCCAAUAGCGUAUAUUAAAGUUGUUGCAGUUAAAAAGCUCGUAGUUGAAUUUCGGGGUCAGUAAGUUGGUCGUGCCACUGGUAUGUACUGGCCUUACUGAUUCCUCCUUCUUGUAGAACCGUAAUGCCAUUAAGUUGGUGUUGCGGGAAAACAGGACUGUUACUUUGAAAAAAUUAGAGUGUUUAAAGCAAGCUAACGCUUGAAUACAUUAGCAUGGAAUAAUGAAAUAGGACGAACGAUCCUAUUUUGUUGGUUUCUAGGAUUGACGUAAUGAUUAAUAGGGAUAGUUGGGGGCAUUAGUAUUCAAUUGUCGGAGGUGAAAUUCUUGGAUUUAUUGAAGACUAACUACUGCGAAAGCAUUUGCCAAGGAUGUUUUCAUUAAUCAAGAACGAAAGUUAGGGGAUCGAAGACGAUCAGAUACCGUCGUAGUCUUAACCAUAAACUAUGCCGACUAGGGAUCGGAUGAUGUUAAUUUUUUAAUGACUCAUUCGGCGCCUUA
RNAcentral lists this ribosomal RNA (520 nucleotides) under uncultured Glomus. Its description in RNAcentral is "SSU rRNA". It matches the Rfam family "Eukaryotic small subunit ribosomal RNA", at positions 569 to 1090 of the family's 1831-position model. The record is from RNAcentral. Lineage: Eukaryota; Fungi; Glomeromycota; Glomeromycetes; Glomerales; Glomeraceae.